RNAcentral lists this unclassified non-coding RNA (207 nucleotides) under uncultured Glomeraceae. RNAcentral describes it as "sequence contains 18S rRNA gene". Lineage: Eukaryota; Fungi; Glomeromycota; Glomeromycetes; Glomerales; Glomeraceae. The record is from RNAcentral.
UACGUCGAUCCUAGAAACCAACAAAAUAGAAUCAAACGUCCUAUUUCAUUAUUCCAUGCUAAUGUAUUCAAGCGUAUGCCUACUUUAAACACUCUAAUUUUUUCAAAGUAACAGUCCUGAUCCCCCAAGACACCAAAUUAAUGACAUCAAGGUUCUUCAGAAGGGAGAAACCAGUAGUGACAGUACGUACCGAAGCACGACCAACAU